GACGAACGCUGGCGGCGUGCCUAAUACAUGCAAGUAGGACGCACAGUUUAUACCGUAGCUUGCUACACCAUAGACUGUGAGUUGCGAACGGGUGAGUAACGCGUAGGUAACCUGCCUAUUAGAGGGGGAUAACUAUUGGAAACGAUAGCUAAUACCGCAUAACAGUAUGUAACACAUGUUAGAUGCUUGAAAGAUGCAAUUGCAUCGCUAGUAGAUGGACCUGCGUUGUAUUAGCUAGUAGGUAGGGUAAAGGCCUACCUAGGCAACGAUACAUAGCCGACCUGAGAGGGUGAUCGGCCACACUGGGACUGAGACACGGCCCAGACUCCUACGGGAGGCAGCAGUAGGGAAUCUUCGGCAAUGGGGGGAACCCUGACCGAGCAACGCCGCGUGAGUGAAGAAGGUUUUCGGAUCGUAAAGCUCUGUUGUUAAGGAAGAACGAGUGUGAGAAUGGAAAGUUCAUACUGUGACGGUACUUAACCAGAAAGGGACGGCUAACUACGUACCAGCAGCCGCGGUAAUACGUAGGUCCCGAGCGUUGUCCGGAUUUAUUGGGCGUAAAGCGAGCGCAGGCGGUUAGAAAAGUCUGAAGUGAAAGGCAGUGGCUCAACCAUUGUAGGCUUUGGAAACUGUUUAACUUGAGUGCAGAAGGGGAGAGUGGAAUUCCAUGUGUAGCGGUGAAAUGCGUAGAUAUAUGGAGGAACACCGGUGGCGAAAGCGGCUCUCUGGUCUGUAACUGACGCUGAGGCUCGAAAGCGUGGGGAGCGAACAGG
RNAcentral lists this ribosomal RNA (773 nucleotides) under Streptococcus anginosus. RNAcentral's name for it is "bacterial SSU rRNA". It matches the Rfam family "Bacterial small subunit ribosomal RNA", at positions 28 to 776 of the family's 1533-position model. The record is from RNAcentral. Lineage: Bacteria; Bacillati; Bacillota; Bacilli; Lactobacillales; Streptococcaceae.